AGUGAACGCUGGCGGCAGGCCUAACACAUGCAAGUCGAGCGGCAGCGGGUCCUUCGGGAUGCCGGCGAGCGGCGGACGGGUGAGGAAUGCGUCGGAAUCUGCCUUUUUGUGGGGGAUAACGUAGGGAAACUUACGCUAAUACCGCAUACGACCUACGGGUGAAAGUGGGGGACCGCAAGGCCUCACGCGGAAAGAUGAGCCGACGUCGGAUUAGCUAGUUGGCGGGGUAAAGGCCCACCAAGGCGACGAUCCGUAGCUGGUCUGAGAGGAUGAUCAGCCACACUGGAACUGAGACACGGUCCAGACUCCUACGGGAGGCAGCAGUGGGGAAUAUUGGACAAUGGGCGAAAGCCUGAUCCAGCCAUGCCGCGUGUGUGAAGAAGGCCUUCGGGUUGUAAAGCACUUUUGUCCGGAAAGAAAUCCUGUCGGCUAAUACCCGGCGGGGAUGACGGUACCGGAAGAAUAAGCACCGGCUAACUUCGUG
This 484-nucleotide ribosomal RNA is filed under the name uncultured bacterium. Its description in RNAcentral is "partial 16S ribosomal RNA". It matches the Rfam family "Bacterial small subunit ribosomal RNA", at positions 29 to 507 of the family's 1533-position model. The record is from RNAcentral.